GAUGAACGCUGGCGGCGUGCCUAACACAUGCAAGUCGAGCGAUCUUCUUCGGAGGAGAGCGGCGGACGGGUGAGUAACGCGUGGGUAACCUGCCCUGUACACACGGAUAACAUACCGAAAGGUAUGCUAAUACGAGAUAAUAUACUUUUAUCGCAUGGUAGAAGUAUCAAAGCUCCGGCGGUACAGGAUGGACCCGCGUCUGAUUAGCUAGUUGGUAAGGUAACGGCUUACCAAGGCGACGAUCAGUAGCCGACCUGAGAGGGUGAUCGGCCACAUUGGAACUGAGACACGGUCCAAACUCCUACGGGAGGCAGCAGUGGGGAAUAUUGCACAAUGGGCGAAAGCCUGAUGCAGCAACGCCGCGUGAGCGAUGAAGGCCUUCGGGUCGUAAAGCUCUGUCCUCAAGGAAGAUAAUGACGGUACUUGAGGAGGAAGCCCCGGCUAACUACGUGCCAGCAGCCGCUGUAA
RNAcentral lists this ribosomal RNA (468 nucleotides) under uncultured bacterium. RNAcentral's name for it is "partial 16S ribosomal RNA". It matches the Rfam family "Bacterial small subunit ribosomal RNA", at positions 28 to 523 of the family's 1533-position model. The record is from RNAcentral.